ACAACUAUAAAUAUAAUAAAAUUCAUUGAAUAAUUAAAAAAAAUGAAUGCCUGCCAUCUGUCUCCUCAGUGUAUGCUGGCUGUUAUGUCCUUAAUAGGAGAUGCGACUGAUGGUGUUGUGGCUAGGGCCUGGGUACCGAAUUGGCCACCUCUUUGGAGGAGGCCUGUCACUGCCCUUUCACGGGGAGGGUCUGCUCCCUAGUUGUUGGGGGAGGAGCCACCAGAUCUUUUUUGAGCUGUAUUUCUGCUCUGUGGCAUGAGGUAGGCAGCAUUGGACCACUCCUACCAUGAGAAGAGCUCUUGAGUGUUCCUCAUCUAAAGCUGUUCACCUAAAGUAUGCUCUAUUGUGUCACUUUUCACCUGUUGUGAGGGUUCGUGAAGUUCACCAUUGUUGGCAUUGCUAUACCGGCAGUUGGCCCUGGUGUAUCUUAGGCAUUGUUUAAACCAUGCCAUCCGCACAGAUCUGAUGAGGUCAGUUUGCAAGGCUGCAGUCUUCAUGCCCCUGGGCCUGUUGUGGGAGCUGUCAAGACGGCUCGGACUCUAGCCUCGUCCAGUCCCCAUGUGUAUGUGCCCACAGAGCCCACGGAUGUUAAAUCCAGACUUAGCUCGGCUGCAGGAGAACUUGUUGCCUGUUGGGAUGUUUUUCAAAGGCCCUGGAUUUACAAAGUUGGCACUGGAGGUGUAAAUCUGUGGUUCCCACAGCCGGGAGGCAAGAUAGCAGCUCUUCCUCCUUAAUUUCAGGACUCCUGAUGCUCAGCUGUAGUUACAACAUCUACCUCUGAGUGUGGGAAACCUAUCAGUGUCUGCUCCUAGGUAGCAGGAAAACUCAGGAGCCUAUCCAGAAGGGAGGCAGGUAGGGCAGCAGUCAGGACUCAUUCUGCACUCAGUAUAGUGAUGGCAGAGUCUGGUGCCUGCUUGCAGUUUUAACAGGGUAUCAGGGGUUCUCUGCACUCCCAGCACAGUUAGGGCAGAGGCUAGUGCCUGCUGGCAGAAUUCACAGGGUAUCUGUGACUCCCGGAUCUGCUGGGACAGAUGGAGCAAGGCCAGGUGCCCACUUGCAUUUUUUUUUUUUGUGGGAAUUACUGGUGCUUGAAAGCUCUUUGGACAGUGGAAGUAGGGCCUGGCCCUGGUGGCAGUUUUUGCUGGAAUAUCUGGUGUUCAGACAUCUCAGGGAUCUCAGAGGCAGGGCUUUGCACCUUCUUGCAAGUCUCCUAGCACCUCCCGGCCUCUGGAUCUCACAGUGGUGCCAGAGGUCCGCAUCUACCCGGUACCCUAGUAGGUGGUUUCCUGUUAGGAGAGAGUGCUCACCGAGGAGGAAGCUCUAAUGACAGUCCUGCCCUUCUCCUCAAAUGCCCCCUAACAGAAGUGUACUGCCUCUGUGGGGAGACCUGGUGUCUUCUCAGUACACCGUCUGGUGUGAUUGUCCAGCCUCUCCAGGCUAUCCUCACAGCCAACCUCAUUCACCUCCCUGGGUCUGACUUCAGAAUCCUGAGUUUCACCUCCCAGCCCCCACCUCCUCCUGGGUUGUGAGGAGGGGGAACGCAGUGCCGCAGUGCUGACCCUCUGCACGAUUACUCUUUGUUUUGCUCCUUGCAUACUGCCUGCUGCUCAUUCCUCCUGGGCUCCAAAGUUCCCUCUCCAUUUAGCCUGGUCGCCCUUCUGGUGAGAGGGCUUCCCAGGGUGUGGGAAUGACUUUUUCUCCCUCACGGCUCCCUCCCCGGGGUGCAGGUCUCAUCAUGGUUCCUUUUGUUCUCUCUCCUUUUUCUAUUUUUCCUUUCUUUCCCCCCUUAUCUGCUCAGCCCUGUGGGGGUUUUCUUGCCUUUUCGGAAGUUGAUGUCUUCUGUAGGCCUUCAAUAGAUGCACGUUGUGAAUUUUUCUAUUUGGAGAUGUAUUUUUAAGGUUUUAAGGGAGGAGGUAUCCUAACUCCUAACUCUUUUGCCAUCUUGAUCCAAUCCCCCUUCAGGUAUUUUUUUUAAUGACAACCCAUAAAAUGCAAGUCAUAAUGUUUCCCUGAGGAAGGCCCCAAAAGGCAUUGCUCCCAAACAAGAAUUACAAUGCUUUGGGAUUUGUUAGUGACCCUGGAGGAAAAAUACUGUUAACCAUUGUUGAGGUCCCCACAUAAGAUCUCUGUCACUCGGAGGCAUGAGUUGAUGUUGCCUCCUGCCUCCUGAUUGAUCUGAUGCUUAUCACUUCAGAUAAGUGAGUGCUGUUCUUUGGAGGGAAUUGUCUGGGGACGGAGCCAUAGCAAACCCAAGAGUCAGUUAAAUUUUGUGCUCAGAGUAGGUUUGGUGAGCUCAUCAGGGCUUUUCCCCCUUUUGAAGAAGGCCCUGGAGGUUAUUUUGAGAGAGAUUAACAGUGUUCAUCUCCUUCUUGUACCUUAACCUGUCUGAGUUGUUCCCACUUCAUAUGUUUGGAUUACACCUGUUACUGCUAUAAAUCAGAGUGGUCCAUUUCAGUUACUAUACCUUCCCUUUCCAGUUUUUUCUGCUCUUCACCUACUUGUACCCAACUUUGUGGCACAUGGGAUUAGGUGCAGGAGGAACAAGGAUAUUAUAAAACUCAUAGACCCAUUAUGAUCUCUGCUUCCACCUGAGCCACGCAGGUGAAAACAGUAUUGUUCUCAAACAAGGGGUCAUUUUCAUUAUUACCUCGAAACAUACAAAUCCAACGGAAUAAUCCAAGCAGCUGAAUGAAAUUAAAUCUCUUGGGCUCUUGUUUGAAAAGAUUGCUAUUCAGAAAACAUUCCAACUAGGCAAUACAGUAAUAGUUGAAGAAUUCAAUGCCUUACUUUCUAUAUUGAUUGGAACACCUAGUCAGAAGAUGAAAUAGGGGAAUUAAACAGUCCUAAAACCAAUUGGACAUACUACUAUAGAACACGCCACCCAUAACACAACCAACAUAGAACAUUGUCCCCGUAACAGCAAAAUACACAUACACAUUCUUUUCAAGUACACGUGGAAUAGUUCCAAGAUAGACCAUAUGCUUAACUAUAAAACAAACUUUUUUUUUUUUUUUUUUUUUUUUUGCCUUUUAGGACUGCAUCUGCAGCAUCUGGAAGUUCCCUGGCUAAGGGUCAAAUUGAAGCUGCAGCUGCCAGCCUGCUUAUGCCAUAGCCAUAGCAGUACAGGAUUUGAGCCAUGUCUCUGACCUACACCACAGCUCACAGCAAUGCCAGAUAGUAACCCACUGAGUGAGGCCACAGAUCAAACCUGCAUCUUCAUGGAUACUAGUUGGAUUUCUUUACUGCUGAGCCACAAUAGGAACUCUGAACCUAGUAUUUUUUUAAAGCAUUCUCCAACCAUAAUAGAAAUAAAAUUCAUAAUAACUGAAAUAAAUUUGGGAAACUAAAAAUAGGAAAUAACAAAAUCCACUCCUCAAUAACCAGUGCAUCAAAGAACAAAUCAUAAGAGAAUUCAAAUAAUACUUAGAGGUAAAUGUAAAUGAAAUACAUUAUAUCAGAACUUAGGAGGUGCGGCUUUAAAUGCUUAUGUUAUUUGUAAAAUCUAUAUUAAAGGAAAAAAAUCAAAUCAACUUAAGUUUCAGGAGUUUGCAUUGUGGCUCAGGGGAAACGAACCCAGCUAGUAUCCAUGAGGAUGUGGGUUAAGGAUCCAACAUUGCUAUGAGCUGUGGUGUAGUUCACAGAUAUGGCUCUGUUCCACUGUGGCUGUGGAAUAUGACACUGGCUGCAGCUCCAAUUUGACCCCUAGCCUGGAAACUUGCAUAUGCUGCAGGUGCGACCCUAAAAACAAAACAAAAAACCCCCAAAACAAACAACUUGAGUUUCUACCUUGAGAAACUAGGAAAAGAAAAACAAACUAACUACAGCUAAAGCCAGCAGAAGGAAGUAAAUCAUAAAGAUUAGAACAGAAAUAAACAGAAAAUAGGAAAACAAUAGAGAAAACCAGUUAGGUCAAAGGAUGGUUCCUUGAAAAGAUCAACAUAUUUGACAGACUUUUAACUGGACCAGCCAAGAGAAAAAUUAAAGGAAAAUCAAAUUUCUAAAAUCAAGUUUGAAAGAGAGGACAUUAUUAGAGAUCUUACACAUAUAUAAAAAUAAUUAUAAGGAAAUACCAUGAAUAAAUUAAUGCAAAAAUUAGAUAACCUUAAGGAAAUGACAAAUGCCUAUUAAGACACAAACUACCAAGGCUGAUUCAAAAAUAAAUUGAAAAUGAGUAGACCUAUAACAAAAGAGAUUGAAUUUUAAUAACAUUUUAUUUUUUCAGAACUAGUAGUCCAGAACCAGAUGAUUCCACUGUGACUUUUACAAUGUUUAAAGAACGAUUAACUACAGUCUUUCAUAAAACUUUCCAAAGAGUGGAGUAGGAGGAAACAUGAUUCAGUGAAUUCUGGAAAGGCAGAAUUAUGCUGAAACCAAAACCAGAGACAUCACAAGAAAGAGACACGUGUAUGGAAAGAGAGCACAUCCAUCAACAAGCUGAUGAAGAAAUCAUAAAUGUUUUGUACUACAAGAAUCUCACCUACUCCAAUAUAUUAGCAUUUACCUGAUAGAUUCAUCUACUUAUAACCUGGUAAUACUGUAUAUAUAUUUAUUACUCUAUGCUAUUUUCACAUUCUUUACUGAAUUUGGAGUUUAGAAGGGUGAUAACAAAGAAAUACUGACAUUAAAGAAAUACAGCCUAUUUAAAUUAAGAUACCACUAGGUUUCCUGUGAUUCCUUUUACUAUGAAUGUCUGUUCAUCAGUCUAUUUCUGAAUAUGUAUACACAGUGAUAGUAUUUACAGUAACUUUCAUUUACUGAAUUUACUGUAGCCAAAUUAAAACCUGAAGAAUCAGAGUAAAAUGUUAUAGUAUUUAGAUGAGAAAUUAUCAUCUUUGAAGUCAGACGAGAGUUGCAUUCUGGCUUUAUUCCUUAGUAUUUGUGUGACUUUGGCUGGUUAUUUAAUCCUUUUUCACCACAGUUUCCACACCUGGAGCAUAGGCAAAGAAUUUCUGCAUCAUAUGCUUGUUUUGAGCCAUAAAGUAAAUGAGGUUGAGAGGUGUUUGCGUACAGUGCCUGUCACAUAUGGUAGUACGUAGUACUUAGUAAUAUCAACAUUAAAAAAUUAUUAAUAAGUGCUCUAUUUUAGAGAAUUCCUUUAAGAACCAACCACUUAUUCAGUCAACUUCUGGACUUGAUUGCCAGAAGUCUACAUUCCAACCCUUACCUUCUAAAAUUCUGUUUCAUGUAGGCAAGGAGGAGUAGAAUAGAAAUUUAUAUUUUGAACAUAUACUCUGAGACUGCUUUUAUGUUUAUGGUAACCUGACUCUUAUCAUUUCUUUAAACCAAAAAUUUCUCUCAAGAUAAUUAUAGAAAAACUACAUUUAGCAGUGUUUGAUUUUGCUGUCAUAUGGAAAAGGACCACUGUUUUUUUUUGUAGUAUCUAAUAUAUUUACUUAAAUGAUUGCAUCACCAAUGUAUUUCUUUAGAAUGAUGGUUCACAAAGCCUGGAGCACCUAGCUUUUACUUAGAAUUAUAAUGUCACCAACAUGAUUCUUUGAACUCUGAAUUUUUAAUAAACAGUCCACCAAUAUUUUUAACCCACCAAAGGACUUACAAACCACUUACUUAGGUAUACACAUCUAGACAAUACUUGUAAGAUGUGAUCACUCCUACAAUUAUAGGCUGCAAUGAAACAUUCUACCAAAACUUACUCUUCACAAAUUAAACAAAAGAAUUAGUACAUGUGGGAGUUACCGUUAUGGCUCAGUGGAAAUGAAUCUCACUACAAUCCAUGAAGAUGCAGGUAUGAUCCCUGGCCUUGCUCAGUGGGUAAUGAUCUGGUGUUGCCAUGAGCUGUGGUGUAGGUCACAGAUGCGGCUCGGAUCUGAUGUUGCUGUGGCUGUGGGGUAGGCCAGUGGCUACAGCUCUGAUUUUACCCCUAGCCUGGGAACCUCCAUAUGCC
Molecule: long non-coding RNA, 5902 nt
Filed under: Sus scrofa (pig)
Lineage: Eukaryota; Metazoa; Chordata; Mammalia; Artiodactyla; Suidae
Description: lncRNA (ENSSSCG00000055834.1)
Source: RNAcentral